This is a long non-coding RNA of Callithrix jacchus (white-tufted-ear marmoset), 1205 nucleotides long. RefSeq lists it as uncharacterized. The record is from RefSeq and is a predicted model, not a curated record. NCBI's taxonomy places the organism in Eukaryota, Metazoa, Chordata, Mammalia, Primates, Cebidae.
UGAACAAAUACUAAGGCACCGCGUGUACGUGAUUUGCACAUGAAAAUGAAACACCUUAAUUCCAAAAACAGAAGGGGAGUGAAGUGUGUAAUGUGAUAAGGAACGAUAAAAACAGCCUCCUGAGAAUGCGGUUUCAGUGUGUACAAAAUCAGUUGCCUCAGCAACCCGCCUCAAACGCCAUCUAGUGACUCUUUAUGGUUAAUACACGCUCUUUCCAUAAUUACUUGGUGGACAAAUGCCGGGGAAAACUUUUUUGGAAGAGCUAUCCCUGGCCCCACUCAGCUAAAACUAAGUACUUCGUUCGUGUCAUUCGCUGCAAGCCAGAAGCUCUGAAAUAAUGAGCCCAACAUGAUCGCACUGGAUUUAAACGUGAAGGAGGAGAGCUCAUCAAUUUUCUGGGAAUCCUGGAAUCACUUAAUUGUAGUCUUGUGAGAAGACAUUGUAAGAAGCGGAGUCAAGCACACACCAUGAUGGCAGAGGAAUGAAGAGAACGGGCUUCCUGUCUUCAUAUUUUUCUUCUGUCGAAGUCCUGCUCUUGUUGCCCAGAAUAAAGUGCAAUGGUGUCGUCUCGGCUCACAGCAACUUAAACUCCUCCGGGUUUAAGUGAUUCUCCUGCCGAAGCCUCCUGAGUAGCUGGGAUUCCAGCUUCUUGCCACUGAAACUCAAAGUCAUGACUAUGUUCCUCAGUCUCCUGGAAGCAAAACUCUCCAAUGUGAUGACUUUCCUGUCUUGCCAAUGUCCCUGUGUGGAACACUUCCGUACUGCCUUGCCCUGUUGAUGAAAACUUCUUCCUUAUGCAUUUGGAGGAGAUACCCACAAAAUAUAAACUCCAAGGCUCCUGGCCAGGACUAGUGCUUUUAUAAAAAGAGACAGUGAAGAGCUUGUUGACUAUUCCUCUUUCCACCAAGACAAAACACAGCAGGAAGAUGCUUGGGCUAAAUCACAAAGGAGGCUGUCAGCAGAAACCAAUCUGCCUGCACCUUGCUCUUAUAUUUCCCACUCUCUAAAUUCAAAAGAAAUAAAUCUCUGUGUCUUAAGCUUCCGAGUUAAAGCUAUUUUUUUUUUUUGAGACUUAGUCAUGCUCUGUCACCCAAAGUGGAAUGCAAUGGCAUGAUUCUCGUGCUAGAAAAAAUUCUCCCAUAGCAGCCUAAGAAGCUGGGACUACAGCCUGGCUAAAUGUAUGUGUGUGUCUGUGUGUGUACGUG